GGCCUACGGGAGGCAGCAGUAGGGAAUUCUCGUCAAUGGGCGCAAGCCUGAACGAGCAAUGCCGCGUGAACGAGGAAGGUCUUCGGAUCGCAAAGUUCUGUUGAAGGGGAAAAAGAGCGGAGAGAGGAAAUGGUCUCCGAUUGAUAUUACCCUUCGAGGAAGUCACGGCUAACUACGUGCCAGCAGCCGCGGUAAUACGUAGGUGGCGAGCGUUAUCCGGAAUGAUUGGGCGUAAAAGGUGCGUAGGCGGCCUGCUAAGUCUGGAGUGAAAGGUACCGGCUCAACCGGUACAGGCUCUGGAAACU
This 305-nucleotide ribosomal RNA is filed under the name uncultured bacterium. RNAcentral's name for it is "bacterial SSU rRNA". It matches the Rfam family "Bacterial small subunit ribosomal RNA", at positions 335 to 634 of the family's 1533-position model. The record is from RNAcentral.